RNAcentral lists this ribosomal RNA (253 nucleotides) under uncultured bacterium. Its description in RNAcentral is "partial 16S ribosomal RNA". It matches the Rfam family "Bacterial small subunit ribosomal RNA", at positions 524 to 776 of the family's 1533-position model. The record is from RNAcentral.
UACAGAGGAGCCAAGCGUUGUCCGGAUUGACUGGGCGUAAAGCGCACGCAGGUGGCUGAGUCAGUCGAUUGUGAAAGCCCUGGGCUUAACCUGGGAAUUGCAGUCGAUACUACUCAGCUAGAGUAUGGGAGAGGGUAGUGGAAUUCCCGGUGUAGCGGUGAAAUGCGUAGAUAUCGGGAGGAACAUCAGUGGCGAAGGCGGCUACCUGGCCCAAUACUGACACUCAGGUGCGACAGCGUGGGGAGCAAACAGG